RNAcentral lists this long non-coding RNA (196 nucleotides) under Cottoperca gobio. Its description in RNAcentral is "lncRNA (ENSCGOG00000001990.1)". The record is from RNAcentral. Lineage: Eukaryota; Metazoa; Chordata; Actinopteri; Perciformes; Bovichtidae.
AGAGAUGAGAGAUCUGAUGUUGGAUCGUUUCUGGGACACCACCUCACUUUGUGAUUGACCUGGAGCGCAGCCAAUGGAAGCGAGCUGCCGGCGCCGCUUCGACCAAUCAGAUCGCCAGCGCGGAGUUGGUGGAAGCUUUGGACGAACCAGGAAACACAUAAUUAUUGUAGUUCUAUACUUACUAACAACCUCCUUC